Molecule: ribosomal RNA, 446 nt
Filed under: uncultured bacterium
Lineage: Bacteria
Description: partial 16S ribosomal RNA
Rfam family: Bacterial small subunit ribosomal RNA
Source: RNAcentral
CCUACGGGUGGCAGCAGUCGAGAAUCAUUCACAAUGGGGGAAACCCUGAUGGUGCGACGCCGCGUGGGGGAAUGAAUGUCUUCGGAUUGUAAACCCCUGUCAUGUGGGAGCAAAUUAAAAAGAUAGUACCACAAGAGGAAGUGACGGCUAACUCUGUGCCAGCAGCCGCGGUAAUACAGGGGUCUCAAGCGUUGUUCGGAAUGCCUGGGCGUAAAGCGUGCGGAGGCUGUUUCGUAAGUCGUGUGUGAAGGGCGCGGGCGCAACCAGCGGACGGCACAUGAUACUGCGAGACUAGAGUAAUGGAGGGGGAGCCGGAAUUCGCGGUGUAGCAGUGAAAUGCGUAGAUAUCGAGAGGAACACUCGUGGCGAAGGCGGGUUCCUGGACAUUAACUGACGCUGAGGCACGAAGGCCAGGGGAGCGAAAGGGAUUAGAUACCCUUGUAGUC